Molecule: ribosomal RNA, 439 nt
Filed under: uncultured bacterium
Lineage: Bacteria
Description: bacterial SSU rRNA
Rfam family: Bacterial small subunit ribosomal RNA
Source: RNAcentral
GAUGAACGUUGGCGGCGUGGCUAAGGCAUGCAAGUCGAACGGACCUUACUUGAGAGUAAUCGAAGGUAAGGUUAGUGGCGGACGGGUGAGUAAUACAUGGGUAACGUACCCCGGACUCUGGGAUAGCGGCGGAACUUCGGUUCCUUUGCGAAAGUGCCGGUAAUACCGGAUGAUCUCGUUGGAUCGCAUGGUCUGGCGAGCAAGGCUCCGGCGGUCUGGGAUCGGCCCAUGGCCUAUCAGCUUGUUGGUGGGGUAAUGGCCUACCAAGGCAACGACGGGUACCGGGUGUGAGAGCAUGACCCGGCACAUCGGGACUGAGACACUGCCCGGACACCUACGGGUGGCUGCAGCAACGAAUAUUCCGCAGUGGGCGAAAGCCUGACGGAGCAAUACCGCGUGAGGGAUGAAUGCCUAUGGGUUGUAAACCUCUUUUUUCAGG